This 1029-nucleotide long non-coding RNA is filed under the name Anser cygnoides (Swan goose). Its description in RNAcentral is "lncRNA (ENSACDG00005018481.1)". The record is from RNAcentral. Lineage: Eukaryota; Metazoa; Chordata; Aves; Anseriformes; Anatidae.
CCGUUGCCCACCAGGGGUGCUCAGGUCAGGCAGCAGCCCCCCUGCAGCCCCCUGCCCCGUAGGGAUGCUCGGAUUGGGGAGCAGCCCACCCUGAAGCCCCCUACCCUCCAGGGAUGCUCAGGUCAGGGAGCAGCCCCCCCGCCCUGUAGGGAUGCUCAUGUUGGGGAGCAGCUCCCCUGCCCCCCAGGGAUGCUCAGGGCGGGGAGCAGCCCCCCCCGCAGCCCCACUGCCCCAUAGGGAUGCUUGGAUCAGGGAGCAGCCCCCCUGCAAGCUUCCUACCCCGCAGGGAUGCUCAGGCUGGGGAUGCAGCCCCCCUGCAGCCCUCCUGCCCGUCAGGGAUGUUCAGCUUAGGGAGCAGCCCCCCACUGUUGGGGGUGGGAGGUCAGGGCUGAGAUGCUCCCCGUCAUCCCCCUCCUGCUGCUGUACCCCCUUCGUGCGGGGCUGGGCCAAGCUGAACCCCCAGCCCGUGCCCCCUGCAGCGGUGUGGGGGCCGUGGAUCCAGCGAGGAUGGGGGCUCCUUUGCCGCAGACCCAUCCUGCAGCCUUCCCCAGUGGUUUCCCCUUCUCUGGUGUAGCGCCGCUGGUCCUCAGAGCAUCCUGGGGGAGCCUGCAGGUGGAGGGUUUGUUGUGCUUGGCUGCACAGCUCGGCUGGGACCAGGUGGUCGCUCGCGUUGGAUCUGCUGGGAUUGCAGCACCGCGGGUCGGGAGAAGGCUUGCGCUUCAGGCCAGCCCGGCCGUAGCUCUGCCAGACUGUCCUACUGCCCCCCAGGCCCUAUUGCAUCUCCUGGCUCGCCUCUCUGGGUUGUCUCCCUGCGGGCAGCGUGCUGAGCAAAAGGGGAAGAGGAGAGGGGAGUUGGGGGUGACCUGGGUGGCCGGCCGUGCUCCCUUUUGCCUUGGAGCCCUCUGUGAUGUGGCGUCGGAGCAGGGUUCGUGUCGCAGAUUAUUUGUGCACUCCAGAGGAAAAUGUUUACAAGAUAGACUUCACCAGGUUCAAAAUCCGGGACAUGGAAUCUGGCACAGUGUUGUUUGA